This 71-nucleotide transfer RNA is filed under the name Ovis aries (sheep). It matches the Rfam family "tRNA". From Rfam's summary of the family: Transfer RNA (tRNA) molecules are approximately 80 nucleotides in length. Their secondary structure includes four short double-helical elements and three loops (D, anti-codon, and T loops). Further hydrogen bonds mediate the characteristic L-shaped molecular structure. tRNAs have two regions of fundamental functional importance: the anti-codon, which is responsible for specific mRNA codon recognition, and the 3' end, to which the tRNAs corresponding amino acid is attached (by aminoacyl-tRNA synthetases). tRNAs cope with the degeneracy of the genetic code in two manners: having more than one tRNA (with a specific anti-codon) for a particular amino acid; and 'wobble' base-pairing, i.e. permitting non-standard base-pairing at the 3rd anti-codon position. Lineage: Eukaryota; Metazoa; Chordata; Mammalia; Artiodactyla; Bovidae. The record is from Rfam by way of RNAcentral.
UCCCUGGUAGCUUGGAGGGUAAAGUGUCUGCCUACAAUGCAGGAGACCCAGGUUCGAUCCUGGGUUGGGAA